AUCUCCCUUUAUUAGCAUAAAGCGUGAUGAUUUGGGUUUCACACCACUGUGUGAUACAUGCCUCCCUCAAACCUUGUUAUGACCAUGGGACAUUACCUGUCUGAUG
Small nucleolar RNA from Ailuropoda melanoleuca (giant panda), 106 nucleotides. NCBI's taxonomy places the organism in Eukaryota, Metazoa, Chordata, Mammalia, Carnivora, Ursidae. The record is from Ensembl.